Molecule: unclassified non-coding RNA, 204 nt
Filed under: Puccinia artemisiae-keiskeanae
Lineage: Eukaryota; Fungi; Basidiomycota; Pucciniomycetes; Pucciniales; Pucciniaceae
Description: ITS2
Source: RNAcentral
GAAAAUUUAUCAUCAAAUUAAUUUUUGAUGGAUCUUGAGUGCUGCUGCUAUAUAGCUCACUUUAAAUAUAUAAGUUCUUUCUACCAUAUGUUGGAUUGACUUGGUGUAAUACUUUUUCAUCAAGGAAAGUAGCAAUACUUGCCAAUAAUAAUGUAAUGAGGACUCCUAAAACAAUUGAUUUUAUUAUCAAUAAUUCAUUUAUUU